GAUUUCUGGUUCGGCGCACUUAGCCCGUCUCGGUUUACGAGAUUGUGUGCUGGUGUGCGCCAUCCAUCCUUCGAUGCGAAAUAUUUUCAGCUCUUCACUGGGUUGGAAAUAUACUAGCUCGAUCUUUUACUUUGAAAAAAUUAGAGUGUUUCAAGCAGGCUUUAUGCUAUGAAUACAUUAGCAUGGAAUAAUAAUUUAGGACUUCGGUUCUAUUUUGUUGGUUUCUAGGACUGAAGUAAUGAUUGAUAGGGAUAGUUGGGGGUGCUAGUAUUCAGCGGCCAGAGGUGAAAUUCUCGGAUUCGCUGAAGACUAACUUAUGCGAAAGCAUU
This 329-nucleotide ribosomal RNA is filed under the name uncultured cercomonad. RNAcentral describes it as "SSU rRNA". The stretch from base 61 to 329 matches the Rfam family "Eukaryotic small subunit ribosomal RNA", at positions 686 to 955 of the family's 1831-position model. The record is from RNAcentral. Lineage: Eukaryota; Cercozoa; Cercomonadida; Cercomonadidae.